UUCUUCCAGAAAUGUUGGAGUAGCGUUUCAGAUACCUAGAUUGAGCAGCAGAAGGAUCAAAGGUUUGUUCAUUUAGGACUGAGCGCCAAUCAAGAUUGAAGCAUGAGCCAAGUGGAGCUGCUUUGGGCUGCCGUGUCCUUGAUGCUGUUGGGAGCUCUCGUGAGCAUGUGCAUGAAAUGUCAGCAGGGUGGGAGCAAAACGGAAACCGAGGUAUGAACAGCGGAUGAAU
Molecule: long non-coding RNA, 229 nt
Organism: Sphaerodactylus townsendi
Lineage: Eukaryota; Metazoa; Chordata; Lepidosauria; Squamata; Sphaerodactylidae
Exons: 3
Source: RefSeq, a predicted model, not a curated record